GACGAACGCUGGCGGCGUGCCUAAUACAUGCAAGUCGAACGAACUCUGGUAUUGAUUGGUGCUUGCAUCAUGAUUUACAUUUGAGUGAGUGGCGAACUGGUGAGUAACACGUGGGAAACCUGCCCAGAAGCGGGGGAUAACACCUGGAAACAGAUGCUAAUACCGCAUAACAACUUGGACCGCAUGGUCCGAGCUUGAAAGAUGGCUUCGGCUAUCACUUUUGGAUGGUCCCGCGGCGUAUUAGCUAGAUGGUGGGGUAACGGCUCACCAUGGCAAUGAUACGUAGCCGACCUGAGAGGGUAAUCGGCCACAUUGGGACUGAGACACGGCCCAAACUCCUACGGGAGGCAGCAGUAGGGAAUCUUCCACAAUGGACGAAAGUCUGAUGGAGCAACGCCGCGUGAGUGAAGAAGGGUUUCGGCUCGUAAAACUCUGUUGUUAAAGAAGAACAUAUCUGAGAGUAACUGUUCAGGUAUUGACGGUAUUUAACCAGAAAGCCACGGCUAACUACGUGCCAGCAGCCGCGGUAAUACGUAGGUGGCAAGCGUUGUCCGGAUUUAUUGGGCGUAAAGCGAGCGCAGGCGGUUUUUUAAGUCUGAUGUGAAAGCCUUCGGCUCAACCGAAGAAGUGCAUCGGAAACUGGGAAACUUGAGUGCAGAAGAGGACAGUGGAACUCCAUGUGUAGCGGUGAAAUGCGUAGAUAUAUGGAAGAACACCAGUGGCGAAGGCGGCUGUCUGGUCUGUAACUGACGCUGAGGCUCGAAAGUAUGGGUAGCAAACAGGAUUAGAUACCCUGGUAGUCCAUACCGUAAACGAUGAAUGCUAAGUGUUGGAGGGUUUCCGCCCUUCAGUGCUGCAGCUAACGCAUUAAGCAUUCCGCCUGGGGAGUACGGCCGCAAGGCUGAAACUCAAAGGAAUUGACGGGGGCCCGCACAAGCGGUGGAGCAUGUGGUUUAAUUCGAAGCUACGCGAAGAACCUUACCAGGUCUUGACAUACUAUGCAAAUCUAAGAGAUUAGACGUUCCCUUCGGGGACAUGGAUACAGGUGGUGCAUGGUUGUCGUCAGCUCGUGUCGUGAGAUGUUGGGUUAAGUCCCGCAACGAGCGCAACCCUUAUUAUCAGUUGCCAGCAUUAAGUUGGGCACUCUGGUGAGACUGCCGGUGACAAACCGGAGGAGGGUGGGGAUGACGUCAAAUCAUCAUGCCCCUUAUGACCUGGGCUACACACGUGCUACAAUGGAUGGUACAACGAGUUGCGAACUCGCGAGAGUAAGCUAAUCUCUUAAAGCCAUUCUCAGUUCGGAUUGUAGGCUGCAACUUGCCUACAUGAAGUCGGAAUCGCUAGUAAUCGCGGAUCAGCAUGCCGCGGUGAAUACGUUCCCGGGCCUUGUACACACCGCCCGUCACACCAUGAGAGUUUGUAACACCCAAAGUCGGUGGGGUAACCUUUUAGGAACCAGCCGCCUAAGGUGGGACAGAUGAUUAGGGUG
RNAcentral lists this ribosomal RNA (1489 nucleotides) under Lactiplantibacillus argentoratensis. RNAcentral describes it as "bacterial SSU rRNA". It matches the Rfam family "Bacterial small subunit ribosomal RNA". The record is from RNAcentral. Lineage: Bacteria; Bacillati; Bacillota; Bacilli; Lactobacillales; Lactobacillaceae.